AGAGUUUGAUCCUGGCUCAGAUUGAACGCUGGCGGCAGGCCUAACACAUGCAAGUCGAACGGUAACAGGAAACAGCUUGCUGUUUCGCUGACGAGUGGCGGACGGGUGAGUAAUGUCUGGGAAACUGCCUGAUGGAGGGGGAUAACUACUGGAAACGGUAGCUAAUACCGCAUAACGUCGCAAGACCAAAGAGGGGGACCUUAGGGCCUCUUGCCAUCGGAUGUGCCCAGAUGGGAUUAGCUAGUAGGUGGGGUAACGGCUCACCUAGGCGACGAUCCCUAGCUGGUCUGAGAGGAUGACCAGCCACACUGGAACUGAGACACGGUCCAGACUCCUACGGGAGGCAGCAGUGGGGAAUAUUGCACAAUGGGCGCAAGCCUGAUGCAGCCAUGCCGCGUGUAUGAAGAAGGCCUUCGGGUUGUAAAGUCUUUUCAGCGGGGAGGAAGGGAGUAAAGUUAAUACCUUUGCUCAUCGACGUUACCCGCAGAAGAAGCACCGGCUAACUCCGUGCCAGCAGCCGCGGUAAUACGGAGGGUGCAAGCGUUAAUCGGAAUUACUGGGCGUAAAGCGCACGCAGGCGGUUUGUUAAGUCAGAUGUGAAAUCCCCGGGCUCAACCUGGGAACUGCAUCUGAUACUGGCAAGCUUGAGUCUCGUAGAGGGGGGUAGAAUUCCAGGUGUAGCGGUGAAAUGCGUAGAGAUCUGGAGGAAUACCGGUGGCGAAGGCGGCCCCCUGGACGAAGACUGACGCUCAGGUGCGAAAGCGUGGGGAGCAAACAGGAUUAGAUACCUUGGUAGUCCA
RNAcentral lists this ribosomal RNA (800 nucleotides) under uncultured bacterium. RNAcentral describes it as "bacterial SSU rRNA". It matches the Rfam family "Bacterial small subunit ribosomal RNA", at positions 8 to 797 of the family's 1533-position model. The record is from RNAcentral.